GCGAAUGAACGCAUGCGGUCUAUGUU
This 26-nucleotide small RNA is filed under the name Bombyx mori (domestic silkworm). RNAcentral describes it as "ovarian small RNA-16779". The record is from RNAcentral. Lineage: Eukaryota; Metazoa; Arthropoda; Insecta; Lepidoptera; Bombycidae.